Molecule: non-coding RNA, 45 nt
Filed under: Schistosoma curassoni
Lineage: Eukaryota; Metazoa; Platyhelminthes; Trematoda; Strigeidida; Schistosomatidae
Source: RNAcentral
ACCUUGCUGACGAGUGCCAAGUAGCACGAAACUCUAGUGCAAGGU